GAUGAACGCUGGCGGCGUGCCUAACACAUGCAAGUCGAGCGAACAGAUGAGGAGCUUGCUCCUCUGACGUUAGCGGCGGGCGGGUGAGUAACACGUGGAUAACCUACCUAUAAGACUGGGAUCACUUCGGGAACUAGGAGCUCAUACCGGCUACUAUAUUGAACCGGAUGGUUCAAUAGUGAAAGACGGUUUUGCUGUCACUUAUAGAUUGAUCCGCGCCGGAUUAGCUAGUUGGUAAGGUAACGGCUUACCAAGGCAACGAUGCGUAGCCGACCUGAGAGGGUGAUCGGCCACACUGGAACUGAGACACGGUCCAGACUCCUACGGGAGGCAGCAGUAGGGAAUCUUCGACAAUGGGCGAAAGCCUGACGGAGCAACGCCGCGUGAGUGAUGAAGGUCUUCGGAUCGUAAAACUCUGUUAUUAGGGAAGAACAGAUGUGUAAGUAACUGUGCAGAUAUUGACGGUACCUGAACAAAAAGCCACGGCUAACUACGUG
Molecule: ribosomal RNA, 497 nt
Filed under: uncultured bacterium
Lineage: Bacteria
Description: partial 16S ribosomal RNA
Rfam family: Bacterial small subunit ribosomal RNA
Source: RNAcentral